Molecule: ribosomal RNA, 375 nt
Filed under: uncultured eukaryote
Lineage: Eukaryota
Description: partial 18S ribosomal RNA
Rfam family: Eukaryotic small subunit ribosomal RNA
Source: RNAcentral
CAAUAGCGUAUAUUUAAGUUGUUGCAGUUAAAAAGCUCGUAGUUGGAUUUCGGUUAAGAGCGACCGGUCCGCCGUUUGGUGUGCACUGGUUGGUUUUAACUUCCUGUAGAGGACGUGCUCUGGGUUUAACGACCUGGACUCGGAGUCUACGUGGUUACUUUGAAAAAAUUAGAGUGUUCAAAGCGGGCUUACGCUUGAAUAUUUCAGCAUGGAAUAACACUAUAGGACUCCUGUCCUAUUUCGUUGGUCUCGGGACGGGAGUAAUGAUUAAGAGGAACAGUUGGGGGCAUUCGUAUUUCAUUGUCAGAGGUGAAAUUCUUGGAUUUAUGAAAGACGAACUUCUGCGAAAGCAUUUGCCAAGGAUGUUNUCAUUNA